Urocitellus parryii (Arctic ground squirrel) is the source of this 387-nucleotide long non-coding RNA. RefSeq lists it as uncharacterized. The record is from RefSeq and is a predicted model, not a curated record. NCBI's taxonomy places the organism in Eukaryota, Metazoa, Chordata, Mammalia, Rodentia, Sciuridae.
GAGUGAAGACCACAGCUGAUUUAUUUAGUCUCUGCUGUCGAAGAUCUUAGCUGUUGCCUUUGUGAGUAAGAAACCUAAUGACUGAAAAUGGAUGCACAGAGAUACGAUCUUUCUCUAGCGAGGAAGGUUUUGGUUGUUAUCCUUUUGAGUAAUGAGGUUAGAAAUCUAUCCUAAACGCCUGACAGCUGGUUCAUCAGUCUCUGGUGAUGGAGGCUUGGAUAUGCGCCAGUGUGACGUGGAGUGCAGAGGCUGACCCCAGGAACUGUCAACGUUCUCCCAUCUGAACACAGGCCCCUGUCAUGAGGUUCUGAGUUAGAGAGUUGUGAUUUUUAUCAUCGAAAAAGAUGUUCCCAAGAUGGUGUUCCCAAGAUGGUGACUGAAUUCUUC